UUCGAAUAUCGAUAAAUGUCGGUCGAUGAACAGGCCCAACAGCACCGGCAAAAUAUUUCAUCGAUUAGAGUUUCGUUCAAAGUCGUCGUUGACAUAUCAAGUAACACAUUUCGUUCGCAAUUACUCGAAAGAUCUGUAUGAACAAAACAUUGUUAUGUAAAUAGUGAUCUUAUAAUUAGAGAUAAAACAAUGAUUCACAAACAGUACGCACAUGUACAAAUAUUUUUUAGGAAAUAAAAGAAAAAGAAGUGGAAAAUCUAACCUAACGUCUAUAAACUUUGGCGCACAUGUAUCAGAAUAUGACAAAAGAAGAUAAUAUAGAAAACGGUAAAUGGGCGUUCAAUACUAAUAUGUAUAGAUGACAUACUAUAAAAUUUAUUAAAUAUGUUAUAUAUAUAUAUAUUUUUUAUAUUUUUUAGUUAUAUAUAUAUAUAUAUAAUAUAUAUAUAUACAAUCAGCCUGGUUAUACGUUUUAUAACCGUAUGCUAUCAAGUUCUUUAAUAUUGUUCCUUUUUACUUGCCAAUUCGAAAGAAGUUAAAACCCAAAAUGAAACGAUCGCUUUUUGGACAGUUUCGUAUAUGUAUAUACAUAUAUACAUCGAAGGCUCAUCGAAAGAAGCGUAUCAAGUAACACAUAUUACGUGUUAAUAUAUAUAUAUAUAUAUACUUUCGUUUCUUCUGCUCGUUUCUUAUUUCAUUCGAUUCGGGCGAUGUAUUUGUUUAAAAAGCGUUCGUUUAGUUCAAUCCAACGAGGGUCGUAUCUAUUGGAUCCACUAGGUUUCAAACGUUCUCUGGAUUAUUUGAUUAAUAUAUGUUUCUCCGUUAAACGCGUAAAGAUGAGCAUAUCCGAAUAAUUAGCAAGAACUCUUUGAAGAGCUCUAAAGGACGGCGAAGGACGCAAAUUAUAAAAGUGAAAGCUAGCGGACCCAUGGUCUAGGAUUCGGAUGAAAAUGCUUGAUCUCUUGUUCAAAAUGUGUAAAGAAUCUGAAGGAAAGCACAAUAACUUAUUAAAUACUACAGACGACAUUCAAUACAAUGGCAACCAAAGGGCACAAAUUUUUCGCUCAGGUUUUUAUAUACGAAAUAAAUAUUCAUUAGGCAUGCAGUGUUACGAAAGAAAAAUUUGUGAAUCGGAAAGUUUCAUCGAUCGGCUUUGCUCAUUUACAGUUAAUUCGCAAUAUUGUUUUGGUAACAUAUGAAAAGUACGUUAGUAUUGAGAUUGCCUUGGGAGAAGGACAUUCACUUUCUUAAAAAUUCGCGAAGCGUCUUCGAUAGAUUGAAAAACCGAGGUCAUGUAUAACUAUUAUGAAACUAUUGAACUAUUUCAUUCACUGUAAAAUAAUCUACUGUACUGUAAAAUGAUGAUGAUGAUGAUGAUGAUGAUGAUGAUGGUGAUGGCGGUGAUGAUGAUGGUGGUGAUGAUGACGAUGAUGAUGAUAAUGACGAUGACAGGGUAGCAGUGGCAAUGGUGUUGAUAACGGUACUGGUAGUGAUAGUGAUGGAAGUGACGAUUAUAAAGAUGAUGCUAAUAAUGACAAUAAUGGUGAUGAAAAUGAUAACAACGAUAUUACGAAGAAACAGAAAACUAGAGCAAAAAGGAAAACGAGAGUAAAGGAAUUAGAAUAUAAAGUUGGCGCUAGGGAUAAUAAUAGGAUAUCAUACAGGCUAGGAUCUGUUAGAAGUUAAUCUCACCGGUUGCAACAAGUGUUUGCUCCUAUCGGCAACAAAUUGACAGAAACGCAGGUCGUGGGAGCCAGGGAAAGCGGGCAUCCCCUUCAUCUGAGCGAACGAACGAGCCACCAGGUUUUAAACGUUGAAAAUAUGCAGUUCAUUGGCAAUUUCAAUUUUUCGAAAAGAGAAGAAAAAUUGCGUAUAAAAUUGUACAUUUGGCUGGAAAUUCAAAUUUUUCAUUUAUUAAUCGACAAAGUGCUCUCGGAUAGAAAUCCUAAGUAAAAACAAAAACAAAAAUGGAAACGGAAACAAAAACGAAAUAAAGAUAUUUAUAGAAAAUGAAACCAACGAAAUUAACCAAUGAAGUUCGAUUUUCUCAAUUUGUUUUGUAAUGCCAUUUAUCGCUCAAUUUUUCAUUAACCCAAACAUUCCUGAAGUGAUAAAACGUUACAAAAAUGCAGACUUGUUACUUCCUUUCUCUUCCUUUCUUCCUUUUACUUCGACGAAACAUAUGAAUAUGUACACAUGGAAAACAGAAACAUCGGAUAGUAGAUCAGAAACAUCUGGGUUAAGUCCAGAGUAGGAAUACAACACACGUAAAGGUGUAAACGUUUUAUAAGACAAACAUACGACUGUACAAUGCUGGAUAUAUAAAUAUACGAAUUAUCUGUCUGUCAUAAUUGUGAAAGGUGGGGGAA
Long non-coding RNA from Bombus pyrosoma, 2369 nucleotides. RefSeq lists it as uncharacterized. Lineage: Eukaryota; Metazoa; Arthropoda; Insecta; Hymenoptera; Apidae. The transcript is spliced from 4 exons. The record is from RefSeq and is a predicted model, not a curated record.